RNAcentral lists this ribosomal RNA (1479 nucleotides) under Klebsiella pneumoniae. Its description in RNAcentral is "bacterial SSU rRNA". It matches the Rfam family "Bacterial small subunit ribosomal RNA". Lineage: Bacteria; Pseudomonadati; Pseudomonadota; Gammaproteobacteria; Enterobacterales; Enterobacteriaceae. The record is from RNAcentral.
UCUGCUCAGAUUGAACGCUGGCGGCAGGCCUAACACAUGCAAGUCGAGCGGUAGCACAGAGAGCUUGCUCUCGGGUGACGAGCGGCGGACGGGUGAGUAAUGUCUGGGAAACUGCCUGAUGGAGGGGGAUAACUACUGGAAACGGUAGCUAAUACCGCAUAAUGUCGCAAGACCAAAGUGGGGGACCUUCGGGCCUCAUGCCAUCAGAUGUGCCCAGAUGGGAUUAGCUAGUAGGUGGGGUAAUGGCUCACCUAGGCGACGAUCCCUAGCUGGUCUGAGAGGAUGACCAGCCACACUGGAACUGAGACACGGUCCAGACUCCUACGGGAGGCAGCAGUGGGGAAUAUUGCACAAUGGGCGCAAGCCUGAUGCAGCCAUGCCGCGUGUGUGAAGAAGGCCUUCGGGUUGUAAAGCACUUUCAGCGGGGAGGAAGGCGUUAAGGUUAAUAACCUUGGCGAUUGACGUUACCCGCAGAAGAAGCACCGGCUAACUCCGUGCCAGCAGCCGCGGUAAUACGGAGGGUGCAAGCGUUAAUCGGAAUUACUGGGCGUAAAGCGCACGCAGGCGGUCUGUCAAGUCGGAUGUGAAAUCCCCGGGCUCAACCUGGGAACUGCAUUCGAAACUGGCAGGCUAGAGUCUUGUAGAGGGGGGUAGAAUUCCAGGUGUAGCGGUGAAAUGCGUAGAGAUCUGGAGGAAUACCGGUGGCGAAGGCGGCCCCCUGGACAAAGACUGACGCUCAGGUGCGAAAGCGUGGGGAGCAAACAGGAUUAGAUACCCUGGUAGUCCACGCCGUAAACGAUGUCGAUUUGGAGGUUGUGCCCUUGAGGCGUGGCUUCCGGAGCUAACGCGUUAAAUCGACCGCCUGGGGAGUACGGCCGCAAGGUUAAAACUCAAAUGAAUUGACGGGGGCCCGCACAAGCGGUGGAGCAUGUGGUUUAAUUCGAUGCAACGCGAAGAACCUUACCUGGUCUUGACAUCCACAGAACUUUCCAGAGAUGGAUUGGUGCCUUCGGGAACUGUGAGACAGGUGCUGCAUGGCUGUCGUCAGCUCGUGUUGUGAAAUGUUGGGUUAAGUCCCGCAACGAGCGCAACCCUUAUCCUUUGUUGCCAGCGGUUAGGCCGGGAACUCAAAGGAGACUGCCAGUGAUAAACUGGAGGAAGGUGGGGAUGACGUCAAGUCAUCAUGGCCCUUACGACCAGGGCUACACACGUGCUACAAUGGCAUAUACAAAGAGAAGCGACCUCGCGAGAGCAAGCGGACCUCAUAAAGUAUGUCGUAGUCCGGAUUGGAGUCUGCAACUCGACUCCAUGAAGUCGGAAUCGCUAGUAAUCGUAGAUCAGAAUGCUACGGUGAAUACGUUCCCGGGCCUUGUACACACCGCCCGUCACACCAUGGGAGUGGGUUGCAAAAGAAGUAGGUAGCUUAACCUUCGGGAGGGCGCUUACCACUUUGUGAUUCAUGACUGGGGUGAAGUCGUA